RNAcentral lists this ribosomal RNA (843 nucleotides) under Klebsiella aerogenes. RNAcentral describes it as "partial 23S ribosomal RNA". It matches the Rfam family "Bacterial large subunit ribosomal RNA", at positions 1 to 888 of the family's 2925-position model. Lineage: Bacteria; Pseudomonadati; Pseudomonadota; Gammaproteobacteria; Enterobacterales; Enterobacteriaceae. The record is from RNAcentral. RNAcentral also lists the same sequence under 3 other names.
GGUUAAGCGACUAAGCGUACACGGUGGAUGCCCUGGCAGUCAGAGGCGAUGAAGGACGUGCUAAUCUGCGAAAAGCGUCGGUAAGGUGAUAUGAACCGUUAUAACCGGCGAUGUCCGAAUGGGGAAACCCAGUGUGAUUCGUCACACUAUCGUUAACUGAAUACAUAGGUUAACGAGGCGAACCGGGGGAACUGAAACAUCUAAGUACCCCGAGGAAAAGAAAUCAACCGAGAUUCCCCCAGUAGCGGCGAGCGAACGGGGAGCAGCCCAGAGUCUGAAUCAGCUUGUGUGUUAGUGGAACGGUCUGGAAAGUCCGACGGUACAGGGUGAUAGUCCCGUACACCAAAAUGCACAGGUUGUGAACUCGAAGAGUAGGGCGGGACACGUGGUAUCCUGUCUGAAUAUGGGGGGACCAUCCUCCAAGGCUAAAUACUCCUGACUGACCGAUAGUGAACCAGUACCGUGAGGGAAAGGCGAAAAGAACCCCGGCGAGGGGAGUGAAAAAGAACCUGAAACCGUGUACGUACAAGCAGUGGGAGCACCUUCGGGUGUGACUGCGUACCUUUUGUAUAAUGGGUCAGCGACUUAUAUUCUGUAGCAAGGUUAACCGUAUAGGGGAGCCGCAGGGAAACCGAGUCUUAACUGGGCGUUAAGUUGCAGGGUAUAGACCCGAAACCCGGUGAUCUAGCCAUGGGCAGGUUGAAGGUUGGGUAACACUAACUGGAGGACCGAACCGACUAAUGUUGAAAAAUUAGCGGAUGACUUGUGGCUGGGGGUGAAAGGCCAAUCAAACCGGGAGAUAGCUGGUUCUCCCCGAAAGCUAUUUAGGUAGCGCCUCGUGAA